GUGGGUAUGACGGAAUUGGUAGACGUACUAGAGUUAGGUUCUAGUGAACUUCUUGUUCGUGAGGGUUCGAGUCCCUCUAUCCGCA
This 85-nucleotide transfer RNA is filed under the name Wolbachia pipientis. RNAcentral's name for it is "tRNA-Leu". It matches the Rfam family "tRNA". From Rfam's summary of the family: Transfer RNA (tRNA) molecules are approximately 80 nucleotides in length. Their secondary structure includes four short double-helical elements and three loops (D, anti-codon, and T loops). The record is from RNAcentral. Lineage: Bacteria; Pseudomonadati; Pseudomonadota; Alphaproteobacteria; Rickettsiales; Anaplasmataceae. RNAcentral also lists the same sequence under 1 other name.